RNAcentral lists this ribosomal RNA (253 nucleotides) under uncultured bacterium. RNAcentral's name for it is "partial 16S ribosomal RNA". It matches the Rfam family "Bacterial small subunit ribosomal RNA", at positions 524 to 776 of the family's 1533-position model. The record is from RNAcentral.
UACGUAGGGGGCUAGCGUUGUCCGGAUUUAUUGGGCGUAAAGAGCGUGUAGGCGGCCAGGUAGGUCGGUUGUGAAAACUGGAGGCUCAACCUUCAGACGUCGACCGAAACCAUCUGGCUAGAGUCCGGGAGAGGAGAGUGGAAUUCCUGGUGUAGCGGUGAAAUGCGCAGAUAUCAGGAAGAGCACCCGUGGCGAAAGCGGCUCUCUGGAACGGUACUGACGCUGAGACGCGAAAGCGUGGGGAGCGAACAGG